GAUGAACGCUGGCGGCGUGCCUAAUACAUGCAAGUCGAGCGAACAGACGAGGAGCUUGCUCCUCUGACGUUAGCGGCGGACGGGUGAGUCACACGUGGAUCCCCUACCUAUCAGACUGGGAUAUCUUCGGGAAACCGGAGCUAAUACCGGAUAAUCUCUUGAACCGCAUUGUUCAAUAGUGAAAUACGGUUUUGCUGUCUCUUAUCGAUGGAUCCGCGCCGCAUUAGAUAGUUGGUAAGGUAACGGCUUACCAAGGCAACGAUGCGUAGCCGACCUGAGAGGGUGAUCGGCGACACUGGAACUGAGACACGGUCCAGACUCCUACGGGAGGCAGCAGUAGGGAAUCGUCCGCAAUGGGCGAAAGCCUGACGGAGCAACGCCGCGUGAGUGAUGAAGGUCUUCGGAUCGUAAAACUCUGUUAUGAGGGAAGAACAAAUGUGGAAGUAACUAUGCACGUCUUGACGGUACCUAAUCAGAAAGCCACGGCUAACUACGUG
Molecule: ribosomal RNA, 497 nt
Filed under: uncultured bacterium
Lineage: Bacteria
Description: partial 16S ribosomal RNA
Rfam family: Bacterial small subunit ribosomal RNA
Source: RNAcentral